RNAcentral lists this ribosomal RNA (478 nucleotides) under Emerita talpoida. RNAcentral's name for it is "partial 12S ribosomal RNA". The record is from RNAcentral. Lineage: Eukaryota; Metazoa; Arthropoda; Malacostraca; Decapoda; Hippidae.
CGCCAUCAGUGAUACGUCUACACUGACGACAUGGUUCUACAGAAACCAGGAUUAGAUACCUAUUAUAUUUAAUAUAAAUUAAAUUACCUGACUAUUAAUAGUUAUAUACUUUAAAAUCAAAGAAUUUGGCGGUAUUUUAGUCCAAUUAGAGGAACCUGUUUUAUAAUCGAUAAUCCUCGUAAUAUCUUACUUGUUUUAGUAGUUUGUAUACCGUCAUUAUCAGAUAACAUUGAGAGAUAAAGUUAUUGAAAUUAAUUAUUUAAGUAAAUUAGAUCAAGGUGCAGCUUAUAAACAAGUAAAAAUGGGUUACAAUAAUAAUUUUUAAAUACGAAUUAUAUACUGCAUAAAAUAUAUGAAGGUGGAUUUAUUUGUAAUUUCUUUUUAAAAAGAAGUUUUGAAUAUGGCUCUAAAAUAAGUACAUAUCGCCGUCGCUAGACCAAGUCUCUGCUACCGUAAGACGUAUCACUGAGCGGGCUGG